Long non-coding RNA from Puntigrus tetrazona (Sumatra barb), 944 nucleotides. RefSeq lists it as uncharacterized. The record is from RefSeq and is a predicted model, not a curated record. NCBI's taxonomy places the organism in Eukaryota, Metazoa, Chordata, Actinopteri, Cypriniformes, Cyprinidae. The transcript has 4 exons.
GCGUGUAACAGACUUUAACGGACCACUUUUCCAACGACCGGCGCGACACAGCGUUCUAAAACGGGAUGUGGCACAAGCCUGUUGAUGUCAUCCAAGCGCGAGAAUCUCCAACAAAACGACUCUGAUUAUUUUACUAGCAGUGUUUAAAACAAAAAUCGCUAUGCGGGUUAAAACAGCCGCCGUCACGCGAUAGGACUGUCCCACUCUUUCCACCUGUUUGAAUCGGACCUGCGCGUGCAAUGCUGCCGACACCACGCUAGAGACCGUCCCAAAUUGACAUUUCUUGAUUAAAAUCUUCAGGAUUGACCAGCCACUGGCAGUUUUGUGACGGAAACGUCUUCCGUGGCUUACAAUGAAAUAAAAAGCAGCCUUAAAGAAGUGCUGCGUUUUCUUUGUAUGUCAGUCUUUUUUUUCAGGAAGUAGACGAUGCAGCGCGUGGACGCAGUGGUUACAAGGCGGUGCGAGUGCUCCGGGGCUGUGUCGAGGACCAUGCUGGGACUGCUGGUGAUGUCGGCUGCUGUUGCUAUGACAGCAGCUCAGCUCCAGCAGCUGAAGAAGCAGAACAGGCCGCCUGUAUCUGCCCCAUCCAGACUGCAUUGCCUCACUCCAGAAUCUUCUUUCAGUCCUAGAACCUGUUUUGAGUUCUAAAAGGUUUGCCUGGGUCUGGAACCAUUUCAGCAUUUCGGAAUCCUCCCUGAGCUCUGGAAUUCUGUAGAAAGAUUGGUGCCGGAACACCCUGCAGCCCGAAUUACAUCAGGAUCAGCUGGUGGGAUGAAAAGGAGGAGGGGGAAGACAAUGAUGAACCUUCAGCGAUCGUCUCCAUAACCCUGUCAUUUAGAACUGGAGGAGGGAGGGAGGCAGGCGAGAAGCAAUCUCUCCCCCUUCCAGGUCCCUCAAAGGGUCACAUGACUCAUCUGAGCCUUACAACGGCAAGCCUUGCUCUC